AAUGAACGCUGGCGGCAGGCCUAACACAUGCAAGUCGAACGGGUCCUUCGGGACUAGUGGCGGACGGGUGAGUAACGCGUGGGAACGUGCCCCUUGGUACGGAAUAGCCCCGGGAAACUGGGAGUAAUACCGUAUGUGGUCGAGAGACGAAAGAUUUAUCGCCAAGGGAUCGGCCCGCGUUGGAUUAGGUAGUUGGUGGGGUAAUGGCCUACCAAGCCGACGAUCCAUAGCUGGUUUGAGAGGAUGAUCAGCCACACUGGGACUGAGACACGGCCCAGACUCCUACGGGAGGCAGCAGUGGGGAAUCUUAGACAAUGGGGGAAACCCUGAUCUAGCCAUGCCGCGUGAUCGAUGAAGGCCUUAGGGUUGUAAAGCUCUUUCGCCAGGGACGAUAAUGACGGUACCUGGAUAAGAAGCCCCGGCUAACUUCGUG
Molecule: ribosomal RNA, 433 nt
Filed under: uncultured bacterium
Lineage: Bacteria
Description: bacterial SSU rRNA
Rfam family: Bacterial small subunit ribosomal RNA
Source: RNAcentral